Astatotilapia calliptera (eastern happy) is the source of this 892-nucleotide long non-coding RNA. NCBI's taxonomy places the organism in Eukaryota, Metazoa, Chordata, Actinopteri, Cichliformes, Cichlidae. The record is from Ensembl.
GAAUAAUAUUAAACACAAAGUGAACCCGUCUUCCUUCAUUAAAUAGGUUCUUUUAGAUGUUAAGGAGGAAUUGACUUAACCAGGCUGGCGGAGAAUGAAGACAACCGGACACCUGCUGCAGAUGGGGAAUCAGUGAACUUUUAUUGAGACAGAGACAAACUCUCAACGCAGCUCACAUCAAGAGAUUCCAAAUAUUUGCUGUGAGGAUGGGUAUAUAUUCUCUAAAACUUACAGGAGGGGGUUGUGAGGAAAGUGCUGCAUUAGCAGAAAAACAACUCCAUAAAAGGAAAUCGGCCUUGGGUGUUCUAGUCUCUUCGCUUGCAGAUAUCUUUCACCUGCAGGAUGAGGCGAUCGCUUCUUAUCGCUCUCAAGGCCAAAGUCGUGAGCACAUUUUUAUUACACAGUUGCACAGUAACUUUAAAGCUGAACAAUAUUUAAAGCUGAAUAAUGUUUAAAGCUGAACAAUAUUUAAAGCUGAAUAAUGUUUAAAGCUGAACAAUAUUUAAAGCUGAAUAAUGUUUAAAGCUGAACAAUAUUUAAAGCUGAAUAAUGUUUAAAGCUGAACAAUAUUUUCUUCAAAUCCCCCUUUUGACCCAUCUUAAAUGGGUCAACACACAAAAAUAAGUAACAAUCAAAGGAACACAGAGACGUGUCGAAGCCUGGCUCGAAAAACUCCUCGGGUCUUUUCAUUUGUCUUUAUCUGUCAUUGCAGAUGAGGAGAAAAGAGUCCAGGCACCACCCUGCCCAGGGGUCGGCUGCAAGCAGUCUCGGUUCCCGAUGAAAGCAGUACCAGCUGUCCUGCACACAAGGUGAUUUACCAGGAACAUCUUUUCCUUUUCUCCAUGUCUUCCGCCAGAGGUUAACCCUGGUGAGAUUCAGGGACACAGCACCC